UCAAGAAUUAGGGUGGGGCUCAAACUUAAGGUCAGGGAAAUCAAUACACCUUUCAAAAGAAGCUAUUGUUGUCUGGUCUACUGCAGUCGCUCUGCUGUCUUAAAACAAAAGAGGAAGAGGUCGAAAGGAUUCUUAAUAGAUAUGGCAGAAAAU
Amphimedon queenslandica is the source of this 153-nucleotide long non-coding RNA. RefSeq lists it as uncharacterized. The record is from RefSeq and is a predicted model, not a curated record. Lineage: Eukaryota; Metazoa; Porifera; Demospongiae; Haplosclerida; Niphatidae. The transcript has 3 exons.